Molecule: ribosomal RNA, 497 nt
Filed under: uncultured bacterium
Lineage: Bacteria
Description: partial 16S ribosomal RNA
Rfam family: Bacterial small subunit ribosomal RNA
Source: RNAcentral
GAUGAACGCUGGCGGCGUGCCUAAUACAUGCAAGUCGAGCGAACAGACGAGGAGCUUGCUCCUCUGACGUUAGCGGCGGACGGGUGAGUAACACGUGGAUAACCUACCUAUAAGACUGGGAUAACUUCGGGAAACCGGAGCUAAUACCGGAUAAUAUAUUGAACCGCAUGGUUCAAUAGUGAAAGACGGUUUUGCAGUCACUUAUAGAUGGAUCCGCGCCGCAUUAGCUAGUUGGUAAGGUAACGGCUUACCAAGGCAACGAUGCGUAGCCGACCUGAGAGGGUGAUCGGCCACACUGGAACUGAGACACGGUCCAGACUCCUACGGGAGGCAGCAGUAGGGAAUCUUCCGCAAUGGGCGAAAGCCUGACGGAGCAACGCCGCGUGAGUGAUGAAGGUCUUCGGAUCGUAAAACUCUGUUAUUAGGGAAGAACAAAUGUGUAAGUAACUGUGCACGUCUUGACGGUACCUAAUCAGAAAGCCACGGCUAACUACGUG